UGCAGGAAUACCCUGGGUCAGUCAGAAGAGCGCAUGCUCCAUUCUUUCCAUUGAAAAGCAGGGGCGUGGCUAACAUUUUCUCUAAAGAGCUCCUAAGAGUUAUGACCGUAACUGGUUUGGAGAGCUUCUUAACAUUCCAAAACAAAUAUGAUCCCAUCUCUCUUAUGUCUUCAAGUCAAUCAGAAAAGCCCUAAGCCCUGGUCACCAGCCCCCCUUUCAUCCCUACUACCAUACAGGAAGUGAAGCUCAUUAUCAUCCCUCCUGGGAAACUGCCUCUCAGUGAACUCGAGAAAACAUAAACCUUGAGGUCACAAACCUUAGAAGAAACGGUUCAGCUCACCUCCCCCACUGACCCAGAGAGCACUGGCGUCUCCACUGCCAACUCCUGCCUCUGUUGUCUCUGCUUACCACUACGGGCUUUUGGUAUUUCAGGAUCAACAGAUUGUAAAGACCAAAGGAAAACGUCUCCUUAUCCCUUUGCAGACUGGACUUGUUCCUGCAUGGACCCUUCAUCCCCAAAGUCCACUAAUCAAGAGACCCUGCUUCUCCAGACGAUGCUUAAAAGUUCACCACCAAUAUUCGCCGGGGCAACUUAUUUUAAAAUUGUCAAGGGAAAACAUGAAUAAAAUACAAAUACUAUAAUCUGAUUGUGUGACUUUGAACAAGCUGUUUAGCCUCUGAAAUUUACUUUCCUCAUUCAUAAUAAUAACCAACAGAUUCUAUAGGACAGGCACUGACUGGUCUAAAUGUUUAUGUGUAUGAACUCAUUAGAGUUAAAAACUACAACUAUAUAAGGUAGGUACCAGUAUUAUUAUCACUUUCACAAGGGAAGAAACUGGACAAGAGAGGUAAAGUGGGUUUUCCAAGGUCACACAGCUAAGAAGCAGCAGAGGCAAACAUUCAAACCCAGACCCUUUGGCUCCAGAGUCCAUAUUCUUAAACGUAUGCCACGGCACCUCUGACUUUGAGAAUAUGGAAUGACGAGUUAGGCUUAUAUCAUGGGGUUGUUGAAAGGAUUGAAUCUAUACAAAGUUUAAUACCUGACACACACUAUGUCCUCAAUACAUGGGAGUCAAUAUUACUAUAUCAUUAUUUUCUAGAUGAAUUUGAUGAAAGCGUUGAGUUGCAAGUUGACAAUUUUAAA
This 1144-nucleotide long non-coding RNA is filed under the name Callithrix jacchus (white-tufted-ear marmoset). Its description in RNAcentral is "lncRNA (ENSCJAG00000073775.1)". Lineage: Eukaryota; Metazoa; Chordata; Mammalia; Primates; Cebidae. The record is from RNAcentral.